This 497-nucleotide ribosomal RNA is filed under the name uncultured bacterium. Its description in RNAcentral is "partial 16S ribosomal RNA". It matches the Rfam family "Bacterial small subunit ribosomal RNA", at positions 28 to 507 of the family's 1533-position model. The record is from RNAcentral.
GAUGAACGCUGGCGGCGUGCCUAAUACAUGCAAGUCGAGCGAACGGACGAGAAGCUUGCUUCUCUGAUGUUAGCGGCGGACGGGUGAGUAACACGUGGAUAACCUACCUAUAAGACUGGGAUAACUUCGGGAAACCGGAGCUAAUACCGGAUGAUAUUUUGAACCGCAUGGUUCAAAAGUGAAAGACGGUCUUGCUGUCACUUAUAGAUGGAUCCGCGCUGCAUUAGCUAGUUGGUAAGGUAACGGCUUACCAAGGCAACGAUGCAUAGCCGACCUGAGAGGGUGAUCGGCCACACUGGAACUGGGACACGGUCCAGACUCCUACGGGAGGCAGCAGUAGGGAAUCUUCGGCAAUGGGCGAAGGCCUGACGGAGCAACGCCGCGGGAGUGAUGAAGGUCUUCGGAUCGUAAAACUCUGUUAUUAGGGAAGAACAGAUGUGUAAGUAACUGUGCACAUCUUGACGGUACCUAAUCAGAAAGCCACGGCUAACUACGUG